This 520-nucleotide long non-coding RNA is filed under the name Androctonus crassicauda. The record is from RNAcentral. Lineage: Eukaryota; Metazoa; Arthropoda; Arachnida; Scorpiones; Buthidae.
AACAGUAAUCAAUAUAAUGGAAAUAUUAUUUUAAUUUCUUUUUUUUUAUACCAGUUUUAUAUUACUUGAAUAAAUUAAUUACAUAUAAUUUUUUUUAAAUAGUUUAUCUUUCAUAUACUAACUGCAAGUUCAUCAUGUACCACCAGUGGAAUGCAUAUCAUAGGUUGAGAAUCACUGCUCUAGAGUGAUACUGUUUCAUGCUUGUUAGGCAUUUUUUCUUCCUUAUCCAGCUUUAUGAUAUAUCAAGUGCAAAGCAUUUUUAUUAUAUCCAUCUUAGCUCCAUAUAUCAUAAUCCAGUCUACUUUCUCUUUGUUAUUUACUUUCAUAUAAUAUAUAACUGCUCUCCUGAAGGACGAAUAAAGGCCGCUAUUUUGAACAUUAUUGUUCAAUAUAGAUUAAUCCUUUAUUCAUCCUUUGGGACAAAUAAAGGAUUAGUGUAUAUUGAACAAUAUUAAAUUUAAUCAAAUAUGUCAAUAUUUUAUUAAUUAAAAGUUAAUAAGUCUUAAAUACUUAAUUUUUG